Molecule: ribosomal RNA, 35 nt
Filed under: Dactylonectria macrodidyma
Lineage: Eukaryota; Fungi; Ascomycota; Sordariomycetes; Hypocreales; Nectriaceae
Also listed under: 2 other names
Description: partial 28S ribosomal RNA
Source: RNAcentral
CCCGCUGAACUUAAGCAUAUCAAUAAGCGGAGGAA